UACGUAGGGGGCAAGCGUUAUCCGGAUUUACUGGGUGUAAAGGGAGCGUAGGCGGUGCAGCAAGUCAGAAGUGAAAGCCCGGGGCUCAACUCCGGGACUGCUUUUGAAACUGUUGAACUAGAUUGCAGGAGAGGUAAGUGGAAUUCCUAGUGUAGCGGUGAAAUGCGUAGAUAUUAGGAGGAACACCAGUGGCGAAGGCGGCUUACUGGACUGUAAAUGACGCUGAGGCUCGAAAGCGUGGGUAGCAAACAGG
Molecule: ribosomal RNA, 253 nt
Filed under: uncultured bacterium
Lineage: Bacteria
Description: partial 16S ribosomal RNA
Rfam family: Bacterial small subunit ribosomal RNA
Source: RNAcentral